This 468-nucleotide ribosomal RNA is filed under the name uncultured bacterium. RNAcentral's name for it is "partial 16S ribosomal RNA". It matches the Rfam family "Bacterial small subunit ribosomal RNA", at positions 28 to 507 of the family's 1533-position model. The record is from RNAcentral.
GACGAACGCUGGCGGCGUGCUUAACACAUGCAAGUCGAACGGAAAGGCCCUGCUUUUGUGGGGUGCUCGAGUGGCGAACGGGUGAGUAACACGUGAGUAACCUGCCCUUGACUUUGGGAUAACUUCAGGAAACUGGGGCUAAUACCGGAUAGGAGCUCCUGCUGCAUGGUGGGGGUUGGAAAGUUUCGGCGGUUGGGGAUGGACGCGCGGCUUAUCAGCUUGUUGGUGGGGUAGUGGCUUACCAAGGCUUUGACGGGUAGCCGGCCUGAGAGGGUGACCGGCCACAUUGGGACUGAGAUACGGCCCAGACUCCUACGGGAGGCAGAAGUGGGGAAUAUUGCACAAUGGGCGGAAGCCUGAUGCAGCAACGCCGCGUGCGGGAUAACGGCCUUCGGGUUGUAAACCGCUUUCGCCUGUGACGAAGCGUGAGUGACGGUAAUGGGUAAAGAAGCACCGGCUAACUACGUG